GCUUCCUUGUGUUUUAUCUUUUAGUAUUAGCCUUUGCUUCGUCUUCUCUGCUGUGCCUUUAUUUUAAUACCGAAUUUCAUGAGUCUAGAAUUAGGUUUCUCUAUUUGUUUCCUGUCCGUUAACGUGCUCUAAUUGCCUAAUGUUUCUCUACUUGUUUUCUAUUUGUUUGUUGUUCGUUAAUGUUUUCUGCUCCAAUGUCUGUUUGAUUGGUUUAUGAUAGAUUUUAUGGUAUUGUUAGUAUUAUUGGCCAGAAACGUCCAGUUAUCUUUUGUGAAGAUAAAGUUAGAAAUCUGUUGUCUUCAAGUUUGUAUAGACUUAUGUACCUCAGUAUUAGGUCUAUUGGAUUUGUUUUAAGAGCUAUUUUUGCCAUGUCUGUUACUCCUUAAUGAGCUUGUAGAUUAACUGAACAACACAACGGUAGGACAGUGAAUUCAGGGACUUAGGGGUAAUAUAGGAAGUCUAGCUUGAGGGAAUCUCACUGAUCAAUUAAGAAAUGAAAAGAGACAAGUUAGUGGAAAGGAUAGCUUUUAGAACACCUUUACUAAUUGAAAAUCAGAAACAGUAGGUUAAUAAUGAAAGGUUAAAAGGGUAUACAUAGUAAAGGAAUAUACAAGUUGGAAAGUAGAUAACAUGGGGGGUAAUGAUUAAUAAGCUAAAGGGGUACACAUGGGAGGGAAUAUACAAGCUGUAAAGAAAAAGUGUUUAAAAGGAAAAAGGAGCAACACUUGUUCUUUAAAUAGAGGAGGAGAACAUUCUGAUAAGGGGCUUAAGCUUGAACAUCUGAAACACAAUAAGAAUUCAUGGAGGGGAGAGAGCUUUUGAAAUAUCAGCUCUUGAAAACCACUAGAAUCAGUUCUUUUUAAUCAGUAUGAGAGAGCAUUUAUGAGGACUUAAGAGGAAUCAGUCUUUCUCAGUGUUAGAGAAAUAGAGAGAUAAGGCAUUCAGUUCCCUUUUGAAAGGCAAGACUAAUUCUUGAGAGUUUGGCCAGUCUUUGAGAGCUUAAGCACACAAACAUAGCCUUGAAAGCUUGGGAACACUUCUAAUAAAAAUACUAAGAGAGAGUUUAAGGGAUUACUAUUUGAUUGCCCGAGGUCAUUUUCAGAUAAUGUGCUUAAUUCAAAUCCCUUAGUUCAAUUCCUGGUGAUUAAGGUCCAGAGUUGUUUCUGGUCAAUUUUCAAGUGGCUUUUGGUGUCAGUCAAUACAUCUUGAGACCAGUUUGGGUGUCAUGUAGUUGUGGGGUGUUUCUGAGGAUCAUUUCUGAGGUCAUUUGAGCUUAUUUGAGCUGUUUGAGUUUGAGUAUUUUGGUUUUGUCUGGUUUCAAAUUCUCCUGGGUUUGCUGCAUUCGUUAUUGUACUGUUACUGAUUGCUGUCUGUUGUUGUUGCUCGAUAUUUGUUUCAGCUGAUCUCUCCCUUCUUUUUAUGUUCUAUUCCAGGUAUCUUCUGGAACCCUAGGGGACAUGUGAAUGUAAAUCUGCACUUUGAAUGUGACACAUUUGGGAUACAAGUUGUUUUCCAAGUUUAUUUCUACUAUUUCGUCCAUUUCAAAUAUUAUCAAGUAUGUAAUCCAAUAUUAUGUAUGUUUAGUCUAGCCUUUUCUUAUGUUGCUGAAUAUUGUAUAGUAAAUCUAUGGUUACUUGUUGGUUUGAUUCUGAGAGAGUGAGUAUGAGAUUUGGAUUCAAAUGAAUUGAAGGUAUCAUCAUAUAGGUUCAAGGUUACUGAAAUGGUUAUUUGAACAAUGUUAGCCUAAUGUCAAUUCUUAAACACUGAUGUAUUUUCAACAGUUGUAAAAAAAAGAGUUCAAAAAUGGCUUUGUAUUACACAUGGUUAAUUCCAAUAGUAAUAUUCACUAAUAGAAAAAUGAAU
RNAcentral lists this long non-coding RNA (1863 nucleotides) under Nicotiana benthamiana. RNAcentral describes it as "long non-coding RNA (NBEN_LNC019164)". The record is from RNAcentral. Lineage: Eukaryota; Viridiplantae; Streptophyta; Magnoliopsida; Solanales; Solanaceae.